GGGAACGUUGGAGCCUAAUGCCAGCUAGGCUAGCCGUUGGGAGAUUCAUAAAAAGAGCUAUAAUUAGAGGCAAUCGGGAGAUUCAUACAUUCUAUUUGUGGCAGGGCAAGAGAGGGAAGAGGAUUUGUGGCAGGGAUUGGCAUUCCAUCUGUAUUGGAGUGUCUCCUCAUUCCAAAACAAUGGGCAGAAGAGGGUUUGUGGUAGGGCAGAAGAGUCAUUGGGUAGAAGGUGCUUACAGUUGAUGGAUCGCACCAUCAAAUGAUUCAUCUCUUUGAAAGAUUUAGAAAUAAGGGAAUGCUAGAAAUUUGUUAGCUCUCUCCUCUUUCAACUUGCUAAUCAUUCUCCUUUUAUGUAUUCUAACUGAUGACCCAAACAUGCAAUGAAAUUCUUGGUUCGUGGUUAAAGGACUUUACAGUGAGCUGGCUGCGAUCAAUCAGCUUCAAGUAGCUAUUUAUACAGCCAUUGGCGGAUUCAUAGUGAGCAAGAUAGUGAGCUGGUUGUGAUCGAUCAGUUUGGACAAGUGAGAACUUGAACACGGAGAAUUCAUCGGAGGAUUUUUGUACACGACAAUGAGAAUUGAACAUGAAGACUUCAAAGAAGGGAUCAACUUAUGGUAUUGUUUAAUAUUGGAAUGGAAGUACAAAAUAUGUAACGUUUCAUUUAAAUUGAUUAUUUUUAUUUAUUGUAAACAUUCUACAACAAUUAAAACUAAUAAAGAUAUACCAUUUUUUUUUGAGGGGUAGAAA
Molecule: long non-coding RNA, 746 nt
Organism: Cryptomeria japonica (Japanese cedar)
Lineage: Eukaryota; Viridiplantae; Streptophyta; Pinopsida; Cupressales; Cupressaceae
Exons: 4
Source: RefSeq, a predicted model, not a curated record